GCGCAUGCGUGUGCCCAGGCGGGCUCCGGAAACCACGUCUGCGUGGUUUGAAACGGUUGCCAGGUUUCCGGGUGGUUUCAGCAAGUAUCAGCUUGAAGGUUCUAUUUGAAUUUUCUUUGGACAUCAUUAUGAAGCAGAAAUGUUGCCACUUCAAUUACUAAAGGAAUUCAAAGGGUUACCGGAAGUUCAGCUACUGAAUAAAUUACAGAAACUAAGUUUUAGAUCUCUACAGUCAGGAUGUGAUUAUAGCAAGAUGUAUAUCCAGGGAAAACUCUCAGUUAUGUCUUUAACAUAUGGAAAUAAAGCAACUGUUUUGAAGAUUAGACCUUAAGGGUUUUUGGUAAAUCUAUAAGGGGAUUUUCCACAGAAACAAUGUCUUUGGUCCCAGUAGCACCUUUUACAUACACACCCCUGAAUGUACUUAAGGAUGGCACAGUUGUCAAUGUCUGUGGUGUUGUGAAGUUCUUUAAGCCUCCGUACCUAAGCAAGGGAACCGAUUAUUGUUCAAUUGUAACAAUUGUGGACCAGACAAAUGUGAAGUUAACAUGCAUGCUCUUUAGUAGGAACUACGAAGACCUUCCAGUCAUUUAUAAUGUUGGAGACAUUGUUUGUUUCCGUGGGUUGAAGAUCCAAGUAUAUAAAAACAAACUUCAGGCAAUCAGCACCUAUGGUUUUGCAUCUUUGACGCUUGAGGGCGCCAUAGGGUCUCCUGUCACACUGCGCACUUCAGGCACAAGCUUUAACUUCACUGCUCAGGACUACAGUAUGGUAGAAGCCUUGCGGGCUUGGGCAUCCACGCACCUUUCAGCAUCUUCCACCUUACUACAGCUUUCUGACGUCCAACCCAUGCAGUACUGUGACCUGAUCUGUCAGCUCCUGGGCAAAGCAGAAGUAGAUGGAGCAUCAUUUCUUCUAAAGGUAUGGGAUGGCACCAGGACGAAGUUUCCCUCUUGGAGAGUCUGCAUGCAAGACCUUGUUUUCGAAGGUGACUUAAGUCACAUUCUGCGGCUACAGAAUCUGGUGAUAGACGUUGUAGUUUAUGAUAAUCAUGUCCAAAUGGCAAAAUCCCUGAAGAUUGGAAGCUUCCUUAGAAUCUAUAGCCUCCAUACCAAACUUCAACCAGUUAAUUCAGAGUCCAUCACUUCACUGAUAAGGCUGGAGUUUCAUCUUCAUGGAGGGACCAGCUAUGGUCGAGGGAUCAGGGUCUUACCAGAAAGUAACCCUGAUGUAGAUCAGCUGAAAAGAGCUUUAGAAUCUGUAGAUUUGGCAGCCAUUCAGCCCUCAGAUGAUACCUGUCAAUCAGAAAAUGAGGACAACUGUUUAACACCUUCAAGCUCUGAAUCAGACUUGGUCUCACUGUACGAGCUAGAAAGAUGUCAGCAACUCUGUGCUACAACACUUACAGAUCACCAUUGUUUAGAGAAGACAUCACUGUGUGCCAUUUUGAAGCAAAGAGUUCCUCGACAAUAUCGAAUCCUAGCAAAACUGAGAUCAUAUGAACCCAAAAGACUUCUCCAGUCUGUUAAACUUCUUUGUCCUAAAUGCCAUUCAUUGCAAGAAGUUCCAUAUGAGGAAAAUGUGGAUAAAAUUUUGCAAGAUGCUGCAACUAAAGCCCCAGAGAGCAAGCUGCAAGGUACAUCGUUGUACGACUCAGAAGUCUGGACCACUGAAGGUCAAGGAGGACGGCAGGUUACUGUCCAUUUUGUGAAAAAUGAUGGCAUUCUCCCUCUCUCAAAUGAAUGUCUGAUUUUGAUAGAAGGAGGUCGGCUUUGUGAAAUCUCGAAACUGUCAAGCGUGUUUCACAGUGUCAUCCCUGUGAGGUCUGGCCCUGAGGACCUGGAGCUCCUAGACCUUGCAGCACCAUUCCUCAUACGAGGAAAGAUGUGUCACUAUGGGUGUGUGUUCAUCUCAGGCAUCUGGGAAUUACAACUGUGUCUCUAUUGCUUAUCUUCCAGCUACUCUAUGUUCAGUUGAUACUUAGAGAUAGUCUCCAAGCUGUAGUGAUUGUGUGACAGUGAUACAGAUUGGUACAGGUCCUUUGCAUUUUGAGUUUUGAUCUUUUCUAGUCUGGUGGUGUGUAGUGAAACACUCAACAUGUGAGGGAACAGUAACAAACUAGAGCUCUCUGUUGAUGACUGAUUGUCAGGGCAAGCAACUGUAUGCUGAGUGUUAUAUUCAGAAAGUAUUAAUGCAACCCUGUUGUAAAUUCUAGAGUGUCCAUACUCACUUUUUCUUGUACAUUUCUAGAGAUUUAAGUACACUGUGUGUGACAUAUAAGGCUUACAACAUUUUGUUUCUUAGUCACAAACUAAACUUAUUUCUUCCACAAGAAUUUAGGUGCUAGCUAAAGGGACAUGUCAGAGUUGCAAACUGACUGAGUUCCAGAACUGCAUCCAACAUUUUACAGAGUUGCUGCCACUGAAAAUGGUCAGAGAGCACGGAGUCUACGGGCUCAGGCCUAGAAAGAGAGCAAAAUAAAGCAUCCUAUAGUUCUGAUGAAACAGUCACCCUGGAAAUGCUUUGCUUCAAGAAGCUUUGCACUGCAACCUAGAUAGAUCUUGUUGCCCCAUUUCUCUACCCCUCCCUUUCCUUCUAAGUGUAUAGCAUUUCUUUGUUUUUAUAAUGAACCCAAAUUUUUAUUUUUUUCACUAAAAAUUAUGGCCUGCCAUUUUCAGAGCUAUACGAUAUGGCUUUUUUUGUUUUGUUUUGUUUUGUUUUGUUUUUUUGUUUCAUAUACAGUGAGUGAAAAACUUAAGCCUUAAAGUAAAAAUGAAUGUUUGUAGCUAAUUACUCUGAGGUACUCAGUGUCUUAAUAUCUUUAAACGUCCUGCAAGUUUUAUAUACCACUUAAUUGAAAUAUCAAAACCCAUCAUGUUCUGUUGUUCUCCUUUGAGUAAGUCCAUAGACUAGGCUUUGCUUCUGACACGAACAUCCCUCAUUCUUUUCUCUCUUUUCGUUUCUUCUCACCUUCCUAGUACAGAGUACCUAAGUCUAAGUCAGGAGACCAAAAUUAUAUGCCAACUUGCUCUAUCACUGUCUAAUAUUAGUGAAUAAUUUUCAUACUUUAUUUUUUCAUUAUUACUGUUAGUGAGGAAAUAUCUAUAUAUUUGAUGAUUAACUGGUGAACUUGAAAGCAGUUACCCCUGUUUCCCAGUUCACAAAUUACAGGUACUCUUGAGUUCUAAUUUUUAUUCAAAUAUAUUUUCUAAGCCUAUUUUCUUACUAUAUCUCAUGCCCAUUUCAUCAUGCCUAAUAAAAUUAAAUUACUCAUACUUAAACAUACUGAUAGCUGGAUGAGUUGUACUAAAGGACAUCCACUUUCAAUCAUUGUCUUGUUUCAUGUGUUCUUAUAUUUCAGACAGUAACUGACUUUCAGGCAUCAUACACAGUGCCUCUGAAUAUGUGUUCACCAGUAUUUACCUGAAAUCUAACUUGUUUUCACUGUUCAUUAAGAAAAAAAAAUUCUUACUCUAUUUUUGUAAGACUGUGACCAUUAGGUAUUGCUCAUAGAGCCAUAAAUUCAAUGAGCUCAUGCAACUUCUCUCUUGUGUCUUUUUGUUUUAGCAGAUAAGAAAAUUAACAGCCAAAUUAAAGUCCAGUUCCUGGUUCUCAACUUCAAGUUAUUCUGAAGCCCAUUGUCUUAGUCACUGUUCUAUCACUUUAAGGAGACACCGUGACCAAGGCAACUUAUGAAAUUGUAAACAGUGUUCAAACUUGAAACCCAUACAAAACCUAAGUACUAUUUCUAAUAAAAGAAUAUGGAUUCCUUCCUCGGUGGCAGAAG
Molecule: RNA transcript, 3784 nt
Organism: Peromyscus leucopus (white-footed mouse)
Lineage: Eukaryota; Metazoa; Chordata; Mammalia; Rodentia; Cricetidae
Gene name: protection of telomeres protein 1-like
Exons: 15
Source: RefSeq, a predicted model, not a curated record